Molecule: ribosomal RNA, 497 nt
Filed under: uncultured bacterium
Lineage: Bacteria
Description: partial 16S ribosomal RNA
Rfam family: Bacterial small subunit ribosomal RNA
Source: RNAcentral
GAUGAACGCUGGCGGCGUGCCUAAUACAUGCAAGUCGAGCGAACAGACGAGGAGCUUGCUCCUCUGACGUUAGCGGCGGACGGGUGAGUAACACGUGGAUAACCUACCUAUAAGACUGGGAUAACUUCGGGAAACCGGAGCUAAUACCGGAUAAUAUAUUGAACCGCAUGGUUCAAUAGUGAAAGACGGUUUUGCUGUCACUUAUAGAUGGAUCCGCGCCGCAUUAGCUAGUUGGUAAGGUAACGGCUUACCAAGGCAACGAUGCGUAGCCGACCUGAGAGGGUGAUCGGCCACACUGGAACUGAGACAGGGCCCAGACUCCUACGGGAGGCAGCAGUAGGGAAUCUUCCGCAAUGGGCGAAAGCCUGACGGAGCAACGCCGCGUGAGUGAUGAAGGUCUUCGGAUCGUAAAACUCUGUUAUUAGGGAAGAACAAAUGUGUAAGUAACUAUGCACGUCUUGACGGUACCUAAUCAGAAAGCCACGGCUAACUACGUG